GAUGAACGCUGGCGGCGUGCCUAAUACAUGCAAGUCGAGCGAACAGACGAGAGUGCUUGCACUCUCUGACGUUAGCGGCGGACGGGUGAGUAACACGUGGGUAACCUACCUAUAAGACUGGGAUAACUUCGGGAAACCGGAGCUAAUACCGGAUAAUAUUUAGCUUCGCAUGAAGCAAUAGUGAAAGACGGUUCUGCUGUCACUUAUAGAUGGACCCGCGGUGUAUUAGCUAGUUGGUGAGGUAACGGCUCACCAAGGCAACGAUACAUAGCCGACCUGAGAGGGUGAUCGGCCACACUGGGACUGAGACACGGCCCAGACUCCUACGGGAGGCAGCAGUAGGGAAUCUUCCGCAAUGGACGAAAGUCUGACGGAGCAAUGCCGCGUGAGUGAAGAAGGUUUUCGGAUCGUAAAACUCUGUUGUAAGGGAAGAACAAGUACGUUAGUAACUGAACGUACCUUGACGGUACCUUACCAGGAGGCCACGGCUAACUACGUG
Molecule: ribosomal RNA, 499 nt
Filed under: uncultured bacterium
Lineage: Bacteria
Description: partial 16S ribosomal RNA
Rfam family: Bacterial small subunit ribosomal RNA
Source: RNAcentral